Molecule: long non-coding RNA, 7029 nt
Filed under: Zea mays
Lineage: Eukaryota; Viridiplantae; Streptophyta; Magnoliopsida; Poales; Poaceae
Description: long non-coding RNA (ZMAY_LNC005336)
Source: RNAcentral
GAAACUUUGGUUCAAAACCACCUAGAACAGGCACUACACAGCUCCAAAACUGCACUAAAAUUACUGAUUUCAGACUUUCAGUUCUGAAUAGACUAAGUCACCAACCACCUGACAGUCAAACUUUUGGCCACUUUUACUCCCAAAUUUAUGUGGAACCAGGUCCAUCUCACUUUAGCAAACUUGUUCACUUUACUAUGGUCUACAACUUUGCUAUGGAACCCUUAAUCCAAAACCCCAUGAAUCAGUCACAAUGAAUUCCAAACUAGGCAUCCUGCUGCAAUUCAGUUCUCAGAACUGAAUAAAAAUUCAGUUGUGUCCAUCCUGACAGACCAAAUUUAACCAACCUUUUCUCCAAUUUUUACACAGCAACAGACCAAACUCACAUUACCAAAGUUAUUCCUUAGAUAUAGCUCUAAUACUUUGGUGUAGUACCCCUAGGUUGAAAACAUUCAGAACAAUUUUUAUGAAGCACCAAAGUGGAGCUCAACACACUAAAACCUAGUUUCAGCCUUAUGCACUAAGUCUGGGAUCCAGAAACCUGACAGCCUAUGUUUGAGCAAAUUUCACACCUAGUUCCAGGCAACCAAUAGUGGUAGAGUUCAAGCAGUAAAUGGUGUGAGCUUCACUGACCUGUGAGGAACAAGGAACGGGCACAACACGGCCGAGACAAUCUCCACGAACCCUGGCCAUGGUGAGGUUGAAGGAUUGCUGUUGUGGUCACCAGACACAUGAGUUGGCUGUGAUGAACAAGGGCAGAUCAAUCUAGUGGCUGAGGAGGGGAGCUAAAACUGUCGUGGACACAGGAACUACAACGCACACGCAACUACUUUGGCUAGAGGUUGAGGGUAGGGGAGGAGAACUUCACUAAAUUCAGCCCCAAGGCACUGAAUAUAGGGGCAGGUGUCCCUGCACAUGGCAACCAUGCUGUGGGGAGUGUUUCCCAGUGCGCCAGCACAACAGGGGCUUACAAACGUGGCUCUCAAGUAUCAAUUUCACACUGGUUCAUCUGCACAGUUGAGACACCGAACCUGGUCCAAUAGCACAGGUACAACACAAUUAUCUAAUUAUGUCCAGUUCUGAAGACAGUAACAAACAGAUAGGGAUUUCCCUUGUGGAUAGGCUCAAUGGUGAAAACUGAUAUUUUUCUGUAGAGGGGGUGACUGAAUCUCGAGCUCCAUAUUGUCCACCCCAAGUCUAUCCCAGUUUGUGCACAUAAGUGGAGGACAGCAGGGAGAGAAGAUAUUUGUUGCACUCACAACCGAUCCAUACUGCAGUCACUGCACCUGGUCUGGUUCACAGCACCAGUCAGAGACACUGAAUUUGGUCCCUUCCCCAAAGCCAAAAUAUCCAUUUUGUCUUCUACUGCAAACAAAAGAAACGCAGCUGGGAACAUCACUUGUGGCUAAGCACAAAGUGGUCCAAUACUUGAUAUUUCUGCUGGGAUAAGGUUACUAGAUCCUGUUUUAUUUUUCUUUGUCCAGGGCAAUAGAUAAUUGUGCACCUGUGAGCAGGCACAAAUUAAUCCAAAACUAGAUACUUUCAGUUGGGAGUGAGGCUUCUAGAUAUCAGGCAUCCAUUCCAUACACAUCUCAACUUAUAAACACAAACAAGGGCGAGCAGCAGGGGAUGAUCUUGUUCAGUUUCCAAACCAAACUCUAAACGUGACUGAAACAGCCCUACUGCACCAUCUGCACCUCCCUAUUGAAGCCUUGUUAUUGCACAAAUCACCAUGGCAACAAACCCACCCCUUUCAACCAAAAGAAUUCUCCAACUACAGCUCUAUUAGUUUGUUGCAGCAGUCCAAGACCAAAAAUGAAAGGAUCAAAAGUUACAGUGCCCCAAAGUACAGCCAAUGUCACUGAAAAUUCAGUUUCAGAAAUCUGAAACAGCAUCACACCGAGUCUGACAGAGGGUUUUGUCACUCCUUUUUCUCCAAAUUAUACACAGUAACAAGUCAACCCUUUGCAUAAAAAUUGUUCCCCUUUAUAUGGACUUUUACUUUACUACAGAACUCUUAACCAAAAUCUCCAUAGAUUAAUUAUCAUAGAGCUCCAAACUGGGCAACUUGCUACCAUUCAGGGUUCAGAACUGAAUUAAAAUUCAGUUAUUAACCAACCUGACAAUCCAAUCUUUGAGCAACUAUUUCUGCACUUUUUGUAUGGGAUCAGGUUCACCACUCUAUAAGAAAGUUGUUCCACUUAUAUGGUCUUCACUUAUUCUACAAACACCACAGCACAAAACCUUAUAGAAUAGCCACAAAAGGGCUCCAAACUUGGCACCAUACAGAAAUUUUCAGAUUUCAGAACUGAACCAAAUGCAGUUAACGUACUAUCUGUCAGUCCAACCUUGAGCAAGCUUUCUCUCCAAUUUUUGUGUAGGAUCAAACCAAAGUUACUUAAGGAGACUUAUUCACCAUCAUAUGGUCUUUAAUUUCUCUAUAUAUUCUACAGCCCAACACCCUAUGUAUUAGGCACAAAUGAGUUUCAAAAUCAGCCAAAACACUGCAAUUUCAGACUUAGUGUACUGUUCUGAAUCUGAAAAUGCAAAGAUCUGUUAACCCCUCUUUGGACUACCUUUUCUGCUAGUAGCAUAUAGUUUUAGGGCUAUCACACUUAAUAAGGAUUGUUCUCCAACAGUUACUCUAAAAGUUUUAUACAGUGAGCCAUAGCCAAAUACUCCUGGAUUCCAAACUACAAAGGUCCAAAGUUUGACCAAAUUACUGAAAUUCAGAAUCUGAAUUUCACUGAGUCUGAAAUCUACAAAAUCUGACAGCUUUACUUUAGACCGGUUUUAUCCCAAGUUCCAAAUCGUUUUAGAGCUAGAUGACUUAACCAAACUUAUACUCCUCAUGUAUCUCUAUAACUUUGUUAUAAUGAUCAUCUUAAAACUGUUUAUAGAUCAAAUGUUAUGAAGGCCUAAAAAUAGCUAGUUGAUAUUAUUUUCAGCAAACUUCAAAUCUGAUUCAAAACUGAAUUAAACUUUUUAGUCCAACUUUUCCUCUAAAACUUGGAAUUCUCCAUACAUGAAAGUUGUUCAACUUCCCAAAAUCUACAACUUUGAUAUAUGGACCACUAGCAAAUUCUCUCUAGAUUUAAAACUCCACUUUUGGGCUAGUUGAGGGUUUCAAAUGUGACUUCUCAUCUAGUGAUUUAUCAACUCAAUCCAUACUCCUAAAAGACGAGUGACUCCUUAAUCUCAAAUCCAACUCUAGUAUAUGAAGCUCAUGUUCAAAGUGUCCCUAGUUUAGGAGUUGUUUUGUUUAUCCACAGUUCCAAGCAAGGUUUUCAAAUCUCACUUAAGGUUUUUAAGGUUAAUCCAGUUUCGCAAUUAAUUCUUCCACCUUUGAAAGCAAAGUUGUUCUAGGUCCUAAGUCUUACCUUUAAUACAUUAAAUUCCAAGCCAACUUAUUACUUGCUCAAGAGACGACUUCACUUCCGAUCUCUUAAGCAAAGUUCUUAAUCUGAGCCCUAUACUCUUAUACACAACACCACAUUCAUUGAAUUUUUUUUGACCUAGUGAAUGCAUUCUAGGUGCAUCAAGCAGUUAAUGCAAGUGCAGAUGAUGACAUGACAAGGUUUUAAUUAUCGUAACACCAGGGGUGUUACAGCCUUCCCCCCUAAAAAGAAAUCUCGUCCCAAGAUUUAAAACUCUAGGCUAGAUAAUGGAAAAGGAAAUGUGUCACUGGCUUAUUUCCCCAUUACUCCUACAAAGCAGGGGUGUGCCCCUAUUGGUUCAAACCAAAGACAAACUACACAAAACCUAGGACUUACAAGAACCUAGGAACUCAAGCACAUGUUCUUCCAAAUACUCCUUCGAUUCCCAUGUGGCUUCAUCUUUCGUGUGUAUUGGUUCCACUUUAUCUCGUAAAACUCGAUAACUCAUCUUUGAGUGUCCUGAUCCUUUUGAUCUAACACCUUUAUGGGAUAUUGCGAGGAGGUUAAACCUGGUUUAUGGCUAACAUCUGAAAUCUCAAUAACAUAUUUGGGGACUCGAAGACAUUUCUUUAACGGAGACACGUGGAACAUGUUGGGCACUAUUGGAAGAUCUUCUGACAAUUGUUCCUUAUAAGCCACAGGUUCACCAAAACCUUUGUUUCGAAGCUUGGUAGUCUUCAUGAACAGGAAAUGGUAGCAUAGAAAGGCAAAGACAGAUAGCAGGAAUAGGGUGGACGAAACAUGUACUAAUACUGCUACAUAGGGGGCUUAAUUUAAAAUUGUAUGUCAUGAUGCAUGCUCGACCGAUUCGUCCUCACAAUUCUUGCCAACAUAUAGUGGCGUUCAUGCUCUAUGGCGGUGGCAUACCUACACUCCGUCAUUGAAUACUAGUCGCACUUUUCUAGGGUUUAGUUAGUGUACCUGCAGAAAAUUGCAUUAUAGUUGUGGGUUAGUGGUUAGCAUCCUAAACUAAGCCACCUUAUAGUCCUUAACUUAACCAUAUACUAUUUGCACUUCGACUAUCAGGAUUUGCUCAUAUUCUUAAAUUUUUCCAAAAUAGUUUGGACUCAAAAUCCUUUUGAAAUAUAUCAAAGGAUUACUUUAAUAUCCAUGAUAAUGGGGGAUCGCUCCGAUACCAAUCUGUGGCAGCCCUCCCAAGUUAUCGGGCCCACUUGCACCAAUUCUUGCCUUGAUGGCCUCAGAUGGCUAUGCACGUGUACCAGGUAACUUAACAAGGCUAUCACGAGUUCAACAACUUGAACUCACCAUCCCAAGGAUCUCCCACCAUACAUGCAUAUUACAGUAAUCACAUUCGAUACACACACUUCGGAGAUAAAGAGCGGAAGACUUUACAAACAUUCUUUACCUUUUCAAAACUCAAGUUUUACAUGUUUUGAAAGAAUAAUAUUUAUUACAAGUACUGAUAUACUCAAAGUGCAUAACUUAUUACAAAAGCAGGAAGGUAGAAACCCUCCAAAGCUUACACAUAAACCUAGCUAGUCCUCCUCCAGAACUAGAAACGCUCUCCAGCCUCAGGAACAUCUAGAGUACUCCUCAUCACCUACAACAACAUGGGUUCGAAAACCCUGAGUACGGAGUGUACUUUCGCAAGUCUUACCCGACUAAGGAAAAAUGACUCUCAAGGAUAUGCUGGUUAAGUAGGAAUCAAGGAAAAGGCUUUAGCAAGAAUCAACUUAGAUACUUUUGCAGAAAUAGCUUACUAAAGUGAGUCCUUACUUUCAAUAUUUUAAUGCCAUAUUAAAUAUUAAUAGACUCUGGUAGCAUCUAGUCUAAUUUCACCAUCUCAUCAAACAACAUCAUUUUUAUUCAUAAUGUUUACAUCCUGACUUAGGUUGCAAGGCAGCGAUCAAGUCUCCACUCUCCGGGGAUAUAAUGGCGAUCCGAAUCGAUUUACUCAGCUGAGGAUCUCUAACCACACGACAUAUGUAGCGCUUAACCCUUGCAUAUGUCUACCGUUCCCACGGAUCCUCCACUGCAUGAACAGGUCCGCGCCACCCGAGAGAGCACCACCCCUUUUAGGCGGUCCUUUGCCAGGAGGGUACGUGCCACUCUCGCCAUCUCUCCACUCCCAGUGCGCGAUUGUCUUUUCAUGUAUGGAAUAGCCAGGUUCAAGCUUACCCUGUCCCAUAUCCAGGGCAUGUGGCCAGUUAAGAUAGUCCUUGAUCAUACAGGCCUACAUACGCAUCCAAUCCUUAAUUAACCUAGGUAGAACAUCACUUGUUCCUAGCCCAAGUCUCGAUUUAAGUACUUCCAUCCUUAGGAUUGUUUGUGUUCCUUAGGAUGAAAAGAGCAUUAUAGGGAACUUUGCAGUAAGAUCCCACCAUGCUCCCAAUGAAAAUAUUCUUGCAGGUAGAAGCCGUCUUUCCUCAGGAUAACCCCUGAGCUAGGCCUCAAUGCAAAAGACAACCUCUAUCCACAAGAUCUGAGCAGGGCUAAGCAUUUUUGUAUAUCAUAUUUUGAUACUUCACCAGAAGUAUCUAUAAAGGUAUGGAUAUCAAGGUAGGCAAUGCAUCCAAUAAUUUCCAAGCAACUCCUAUAAACUUAAUGCUCAUUUCACUAGACUUAAAUGUAUAAAAGUCUUUUUAAAAAUACAAGGAAGGGGUAAAUGCACCGGGGCUUGCCUUUGUUGCAGAGACGGAGGUCUAAAUCCCUCUAUUAAACCCCAGUUAGAUGGCUCCCAUCACUUGAUGAGCAGGCACUGAAGCAGACUCCUCUUCAGAAACGACUUCUUGAAUUUUAUCAUCUUCUUCUGGGAAUUUCUACAUGUAAAGAUAUGAACAUAAAUGCUUAUGCUGAUGCAACUUGAAAAGAAAAUACUAAAAAGCAUCACAAGACUUACACCUCGCUAAAGGUGCACACAAAAACUAACAAAACCUUAAGAGAGCUAAAUACUCUAAUAUCACAACUCAAUUCACCAACCAAACUAGAAAACCUUGCCUCCAUAACCAACCAAGUACUUCAUUUAUGCCUUAAGCAAGGAUCCAACCUGCAUGAACUACAAGUUAUAGUGUCCAAGAAUCAGCCACAAUUCAUUGAACCUGCUUUCAGUUCUCUGAAAGCAUCUUCCAUUGCUCCAUUCCUCUCCCCUCUGUUCAAUGCCUUUUAUCUCAUAAACUCACAUGACAAGAGACCCCACUUACUUAACCAAAUCUAUUCCCUAAGUAUUGCUCUUCCACUUUGGUAUAACACUCCAAGACUGAAAAUACACAUUGCAAAUUCAGUUUUUAGGCAGCUGAAUGAAAUUCAGUCUCUGCAACUGAAAGUCCAUUUUUGGGCAGUAUUUACACCACUUUGUGUGUGGGAUCAAUCCCAACUCACCUAAAGGAUGUUGUUCUCUAACACAUGUUCUUCAAACUUGCUGUAGAAACUUUGGUUCAAAACCACCUAGAACAGGCACUACACAGCUCCAAAACUGCACUAAAAUUACUGAUUUCAGACUUUCAGUUCUGAAUAGACUAAGUCACCAACCACCUGACAGUCAAACUUUUGGCCACUUUUACUCCCAAAUUUAUGUGGAACCAGGUCCAUCUCACUUUAGCAAACUUGUUCACUUUACUAUGGUCUACAACUUUGC